AAUAUUGCGCAAUGGAGGAAACUCUGACGCAGCGACGCCGCGUGAGCGAUGAAGGUUUUCGGAUCGUAAAGCUCUGUCCUUGGGGAAGAAGGUCUUCGGACUUGACGGUACCCAAGAAGAAAGCCCCGGCUAACUACGUGCCAGCAGCCGCGGUAAUACGUAGGGGGCAAGCGUUGUCCGGAAUUAUUGGGCGUAAAGGGUGCGUAGGCGGCCUAUUAAGUUAGAAGUGUAAUACCCGGGCUUAACUCGGGUGCUACUUCUAAAACUAAUAGGCUUGAGUGUGGGAGAGGUAAGUGGAAUUCCUAGUGUAGCGGUGGAAUGCGUAGAUAUUAGGAGGAACACCAGUGGCGAAGGCGGCUUACUGGACCAUAACUGACGCUGAGGCACGAAAGCGUGGGGAGCAAAC
Molecule: ribosomal RNA, 406 nt
Filed under: uncultured bacterium
Lineage: Bacteria
Description: partial 16S ribosomal RNA
Rfam family: Bacterial small subunit ribosomal RNA
Source: RNAcentral